CGAGGUGGCGGAAUGGUAGACGCGGCGGACUUAAAAUCCGUUGCCCUUUAAAGGCGUGUGGGUUCGAGUCCCUCCCUCG
Molecule: transfer RNA, 79 nt
Filed under: marine eukaryotic metagenome
Rfam family: tRNA
About the family: Transfer RNA (tRNA) molecules are approximately 80 nucleotides in length. Their secondary structure includes four short double-helical elements and three loops (D, anti-codon, and T loops).
Source: RNAcentral